RNAcentral lists this ribosomal RNA (429 nucleotides) under Actinomycetes bacterium. Its description in RNAcentral is "Actinobacteria bacterium partial 16S ribosomal RNA". It matches the Rfam family "Bacterial small subunit ribosomal RNA", at positions 355 to 776 of the family's 1533-position model. Lineage: Bacteria; Bacillati; Actinomycetota; Actinomycetes. The record is from RNAcentral.
UAGGGAAUCUUCCGCAAUGGGCGAAAGCUUGACGGAGCAACGCCGCGUGAGUGAUGAAGGUCUUCGGAUCGUAAAACUCUGUUAUUAGGGAAGAACCAAUGUGUAAGUAACUAUGCACGUCUUGCCGGUACCUACUCUGAAAGCCACGGCUAACUACGUGCCAUCAGCCGCGGUAAUACGUAGGUGGCAAGCGUUAUCCGGGAUUAUUGGGCGUACAGCGCGCGUCUGCGGUUUUUUAAGUCUGAUGUGAAAGCCCACGGCUCAACCGUGGAGGGUCAUUGGAAACUGGAAAACUUGAGGGAAGAAGAGGAGAGUGGAAUUACAUGUGUAGCGGUGAAAUGCGCAGAGAUAUGGAGAAACAUCAGUGGCGAAGGCGACUUUCGGGUCUGUAACUGACGCAGAUGUGAGAAAGCGUGGGGAUCAAACAGG